RNAcentral lists this unclassified non-coding RNA (383 nucleotides) under uncultured fungus. Its description in RNAcentral is "sequence contains ITS2". Lineage: Eukaryota; Fungi. The record is from RNAcentral.
AACGCACCUUGCACCGUAUGAGCAAUUGUACGGUAUACCUGUUUGAGAAUCGUAAAACCCUCUCUCAACUAACCUUUCCUCUCGAGGAUGGGGUUAGUCGAGGAUGUGUCUGUUCGUUUCCUCAACGUCGGAUCAAAUCAAGUAGGUUUGGAUCAGGCUGGUGGCCUGAGACACUAUGUGAUAGAGACUAAGAGUAGAUUCGAGUGCUUGCCUCACGGCGGUACAAGAUGAAGCCUCUGUGUCUUCUCAUGGUGCGUCUCAAGUCAUUCAAAGCUGGCCUGGUCAAUCAAUCCUUAACUGCGCUAAUCCUGGCUUAAAAACCCGGCGAUUAGGCAACCCCCCCUUUUGAUCUCAAAUCAGGUAAGGCUACCCGCUGAACUUAA